This 126-nucleotide small nucleolar RNA is filed under the name Nannospalax galili (Upper Galilee mountains blind mole rat). RNAcentral describes it as "Small nucleolar RNA SNORA40 (ENSNGAG00000003453.1)". It matches the Rfam family "Small nucleolar RNA SNORA40". Rfam says of the family: The snoRNA ACA 40 belongs to the H/ACA family of snoRNAs and guides the pseudouridylation of 28S rRNA subunit at position U4565. NB This family has a high threshold value to exclude a large number of closely related sequences that do not appear to have conserved H and ACA boxes, and may be pseudogenes. The record is from RNAcentral. Lineage: Eukaryota; Metazoa; Chordata; Mammalia; Rodentia; Spalacidae.
AUCACUUUCUGUGUGUUUCUUCAACUGGUUGACAAAGGCAUGAAAGACAGGUGCAAAAGUAAAUCCUGUUUUGCAACCCGGAACUCACUGUUCAGUAUGAGUUUUGAUACAUACAAGGAGUAUGAC